CCUACGGGUGGCAGCAGUGAGGAAUAUUGGUCAAUGGACGAGAGUCUGAACCAGCCAAGUAGCGUGAAGGAUGACUGCCCUAUGGGUUGUAAACUUCUUUUAUAUGGGAAUAAAAUGUUCCACGUGUGGGAUUUUGUAUGUACCAUAUGACUAAGGAUCGGCUAACUCCGUGCCAGCAGCCGCGGUAAUACGGAGGAUCCGAGCGUUAUCCGGAUUUAUUGGGUUUAAAGGGAGCGUAGGUGGAUUGUUAAGUCAGUUGUGAAAGUUUGCGGCUCAACCGUAAAAUUGCAGUUGAAACUGGCAGUCUUGAGUACAGGAGAGGUGGGCGGAAUUCGUGGUGUAGCGGUGAAAUGCUUAGAUAUCACGAAGAACUCCGAUUGCGAAGGCAGUUCACUGGACUGCAACUGACACUGAGGCUCGAAAGUGUGGGUAUCAAACAGGAUUAGAUACCCCUGUAGUC
This 460-nucleotide ribosomal RNA is filed under the name uncultured bacterium. RNAcentral's name for it is "partial 16S ribosomal RNA". It matches the Rfam family "Bacterial small subunit ribosomal RNA", at positions 338 to 795 of the family's 1533-position model. The record is from RNAcentral.